GAUGAACGCUAGCGGGAGGCUUAACACAUGCAAGUCGAGGGGCAGCAUAGGGUAGCAAUACUCUGAUGGCGACCGGCAAAACGGGUGAGUAACGCGUAUGCAACCUACCCUGUACAGGGGGAUAACCCGGAGAAAUUCGGACUAAUAUCCCGUAAUAAUAUCCGGAGGCAUCUUUGGAUAUUUAAAGCUCUGGCGGUACAGGAUGGGCAUGCGCGACAUUAGCUAGUUGGUAAGGUAACGGCUUACCAAGGCGACGAUGUUUAGGGGACCUGAGAGGGUUGUCCCCCACACUGGUACUGAGACACGGACCAGACUCCUACGGGAGGCAGCAGUGAGGAAUAUUGGUCAAUGGGCGCAAGCCUGAACCAGCCAUCCCGCGUGAAGGAAGAAUGCGCUACGCGUUGUAAACUUCUUUUCCAGGGGGAGAAUAAUCCUGUCGUGACAGGACUUGACGGUACUCUGGGAAUAAGCAUCGGCUAACUCCGUGCCAGCAGCCGCGGU
RNAcentral lists this ribosomal RNA (501 nucleotides) under uncultured bacterium. RNAcentral's name for it is "bacterial SSU rRNA". It matches the Rfam family "Bacterial small subunit ribosomal RNA", at positions 28 to 521 of the family's 1533-position model. The record is from RNAcentral.